This 244-nucleotide long non-coding RNA is filed under the name Lathyrus oleraceus (garden pea). RNAcentral's name for it is "Pisum sativum (pea) long non-coding RNA (PSAT_LNC034630)". The record is from RNAcentral. Lineage: Eukaryota; Viridiplantae; Streptophyta; Magnoliopsida; Fabales; Fabaceae.
AGUCAUGUGUCUGGAGCACCCACUGUCAAAAUACCAAUCUUCUUUUGCUGAGACUCUGAAGGAAGUGUGAGCUAUCAGACUUGUAACAUCAGUCCUAGGAACCCAUUGUUUUUUGUUGACAGGUCUGUGAUGUUUGGGUUUAGGUUGAUGAUGAGAGGGACUAGGAUAGCCAUACAACUUAUAGCAGAAUGGUUUUAUGUGGCCAAAUUUUCCACAGUAGUGACAUCUCCAUCUUUGAUUUUUC